This 2562-nucleotide long non-coding RNA is filed under the name Gallus gallus (chicken). Lineage: Eukaryota; Metazoa; Chordata; Aves; Galliformes; Phasianidae. The record is from RNAcentral.
AAUAUGUCAGUGCUUGUGUUGGUCAGAGCCUCUAUCAUGUCUACCAUGCAGCUGUUAAGGGAUGUUCGGCCACGGGAGGAGCAGUGAGUGGGGCUGCGGGCGCUGCGGUGCUGUGCAGCCGAGCUGUGGGCUGUGGGGCUGUGGGGCUGUGGGGGGGUCCCGGCUGCUGCCGGGGGGGGCAGAAGCAGGCAGAAUUACUUGAUUUUUUUUUUUUAAUUUUUUUUUUUUUUUUUAAUUUUUUGGACGACCUCUAACUUUUUGGAGGGGGGUGGCGGUGGGGACGAGAAUAAACUUCUGUGUCUGAAGGAACAAAGUGGUUUUUGGUUUAUUUCUUGCCAUGUCAGCCUGGAGGGCCCUGCGUGCAGGUGUAGGAGCAGCAGAGCGGCCGUGCCCCCCCCCCAGAGCCAGAGCUGGGCUGCAGCCGCAGGGCUGCCACAGCUGCAGGGCUGCCACAGCUGCAGGGCUGCUGCACUGCUGUGCUGCGUGGGGCCGUGCUCUGCUCCCAGCACUGGGGUUGCAGCCCCGGCUGCCUCCAAUCGGUGCUGUUUUUUGCUCUCUUACCCCACUAGACAGGUGCGUGAGGCGUGAUGGGAACCAGCCUGUUCCUGUGAGGUGUCAAUUAAAAGCUAACCGAAUAGGCUCAGUGCUUUAGAAGCAAAAACCCUUUACCUCUUUGGAAGAUCUCUUCACUGGGAGCAGCACCGGCCCGGCCCUCUGCCUGCAGUGCCGGUGCUGGGAGGUGUGUGGGGCCGUUCCCUGCAGGGUUCUGCCCGGCAGUGACGAACGUGGAAGACAUAAAGGCAAUAAGUUGUUGUUAAGCAACUCUUCUAUUACUUGAAAAAGAAAAAUACAUGAGGACAGUCCUGAAGUUGUGACCAUUUGAACGAUAUUUAUAUGUAUUUUGAUGAAGAUGGAGAAUAGCUGAACUUGAAGUUUGGGGUUUCUUUUUUUUUGCCUUUUUUUAAUUUUGUUGUUGUUGUUGUUAAUAAAUCCUGUAUUCUCAGUCCUUCAGAGCACUUUUCCACAGCUCUCGGGGUCCUCCCAGCUUUACAGCCAUGCAAAACCACAAAAGAAACAAGCAGAAAUGCAAAGGAGAGCAACUCGAGUGUGUCAGGAAGGCGCAAAGUGAGUUUAUAGAACCGUACCUUUAUGUAACAUAUCUAUUUAGUGCCUUAUGAAAGAAGCAGCAUCGCUCCCUUUUUCAAGAGGGGAGAAGGAAAUCCCGGGCAUCGCCCACCCCAGCAGCGCUGUCUGCAUUGCCGUGCGCAGGGCAGCCCGUCCCCCCCAUGGCUUCUGGAUGCUGCCCGGGUCACCUGGGGACUCCUGCACAUGGCGUGGGUCAGGAACCGCAGCGGCUGUUGGACGUGAGGUACCAACCUAAAGACAUCUGUAAUAUCUGCUGCCCUCUUGAGCCAAAACGCGUGCAUAGUGUGGUUGGGGUUUUGUUCUGUUCUGUGAGCUUAACUCGUGUGUUUGCUACAAAAACCAAACGGUUACCUCAGCGGCUGUGGGGUGGGCUGUGCAUCGCGGGCCCACGCGGAGCAGCCGAGGCAGGGGGGGGUUCUCAGUGGUGCUGUUGGGGCGGUGGGCACUGAGCGGUGCAGUGUCGGCAUUGUGCAGUCAGAGCGGCUCCGGGUCUUCCAUCAGUCCUUGGGAUUUCAACUCGUUCUCUUUUUUCCCUCCCCCAUCCUCUCCCAAUGUGAACUUCAGUUUCACAGACCCUUCAGUUUCACAGACCUCACCCCCGAGCAUCCUGCAGCUCCUUGGUCCCUUGGGCUGCGUUACUGGCUCCGCUUUCCUAUGCCGUGCGGGGCAUGGAAUGGGCUUACAGCAGGACGGCUCAGCAGCACCGAGCUGCCAUUGCAGCACUGCUGUCAGCCCAUGUCCCACACCCCCCUGGAGCUGCACUAGGGCUCCCAGAAGGGGGCUCAGCCACAGCCCCAGUGCAGCUCCAGUGCAGCCCGGCUCAGCUCAGCACAGCCGACUCGUCCCCCUGUGCCCGGCUCCCUUCCGCAUCCUGCAGCCCUGCACGCCCUGUGUUUCCGAUGCAGGACCAGAUCUGGGGCCCAGAUCAACUCCCACGUUCUGAAUGGAUGUUUAGAAAUAACGCUCUUUGAUUAUGAUGAUGAUUCUUUAUUAUUGUUGUCCUUAUUAUUGCUAUUUAAUGUUUAUUUUUGCCUCGGGGUCCACGUCUCCCACCCCCCCCAGCCCCUCCAUGGCCGGGUGCUGGCCGCGCACGCUGUCUCCCUUUGGUCUGUAUGCAGGACCUGCCCACGGCUGCCCUCGCAUCCCACAGCUGCAGCAGAGGGAGCAUCAGGCCCUGCCCCAGUGACUUACUGCAACAAAAGCAGGAGCAAUAAGGCAUUGCCAGUGCUCAGCAGCCUCCUGCUGCAGCUCAGCCUUUUUGCUCAGAGUUGUAGGAGUCGUGUUGGCUUUAGAAGGAGUCGUUAAUCUGAGGGAUUUCCUUAGGGUACAGUAUGGCAAACAGCAUCCUGAGCGUGCCACCAGAACCCACGUGGCUUUCUCAGUGAGGGUGGCAAGGAGCAGUGCGUUUCACUGCGC